ACGGGUGUAGCUCAAUUGGUAGAGCAUUGGUCUCCAAAACCAAAGGUCGGGAGUUCGAGCCUCUCCACCCGUG
Non-coding RNA from Bacteroides sp. SM23_62_1, 73 nucleotides. Lineage: Bacteria; Pseudomonadati; Bacteroidota; Bacteroidia; Bacteroidales; Bacteroidaceae. The record is from Rfam.